RNAcentral lists this ribosomal RNA (592 nucleotides) under uncultured fungus. RNAcentral's name for it is "eukaryotic LSU rRNA". The stretch from base 190 to 343 matches the Rfam family "5.8S ribosomal RNA". The record is from RNAcentral. Lineage: Eukaryota; Fungi.
UCCGUAGGUGAACCUGCGGAAGGAUCAUUACAGAGUUCAUGCCCUCACGGGUAGAUCUCCCACCCUUGAAUACUUAUACCUUUGUUGCUUUGGCGGGCCGCUUCGGCUACCGGCUUCGGCUGGUGAGUGCCCGCCAGAGGACCCAAAACUCUGAAUUAUAGUGUCGUCUGAGUACUAUAUAAUAGUUAAAACUUUCAACAACGGAUCUCUUGGUUCUGGCAUCGAUGAAGAACGCAGCGAAAUGCGAUAAGUAAUGUGAAUUGCAGAAUUCAGUGAAUCAUCGAAUCUUUGAACGCACAUUGCGCCCCUUGGUAUUCCGAGGGGCAUGCCUGUUCGAGCGUCAUUAUAACCCCUCAAGCUCAGCUUGGUGUUGGGGCCUGCUGCACUGGCAGCCCUUAAAAUCAGUGGCGGCGCCAUCUGGCUCUAAGCGUAGUAAUUCUUCUCGCUAUGGAGUCCUGGUGGAUGCUUGCCAUCAACCCCCAAUUUUUCUAUGGUUGACCUCGGAUCAGGUAGGGAUACCCGCUGAACUUAAGCAUAUCAAUAAGCGGAGGGAAGUCGGACUGGCCAAGGGGCACACCAGGGGGGGGGGAUA